RNAcentral lists this ribosomal RNA (245 nucleotides) under uncultured Synechococcus sp. Its description in RNAcentral is "partial 16S ribosomal RNA". It matches the Rfam family "Bacterial small subunit ribosomal RNA", at positions 1290 to 1533 of the family's 1533-position model. The record is from RNAcentral. Lineage: Bacteria; Bacillati; Cyanobacteriota; Cyanophyceae; Synechococcales; Synechococcaceae.
AGUUCAGAUCGUAGGCUGCAACUCGCCUACGUGAAGGAGGAAUCGCUAGUAAUCGCAGGUCAGCAUACUGCGGUGAAUACGUUCCCGGGCCUUGUACACACCGCCCGUCACACCAUGGAAGUUGGCCACGCCCGAAGCCGUUACUCCAACCCUUGUGGAGGAGGACGUCGAAGGUGGGGCUGAUGACUGGGGUGAAGUCGUAACAAGGUAGCCGUACCGGAAGGUGCGGCUGGAUCACCUCCUAA